RNAcentral lists this transfer RNA (73 nucleotides) under Canis lupus familiaris (dog). It matches the Rfam family "tRNA". From Rfam's summary of the family: Transfer RNA (tRNA) molecules are approximately 80 nucleotides in length. The record is from Rfam by way of RNAcentral. Lineage: Eukaryota; Metazoa; Chordata; Mammalia; Carnivora; Canidae. RNAcentral also lists the same sequence under 1 other name.
UCCUGGCUGGCUCAUUUGGAAGGACAUGUGACUUUUGAUCACAGAGUUGUGAGUUCAAGCCCCAUGUUAGGUA